AUGGCUGGGCCCUGUCAUUACUGGGAGGGUCCGCUCUCCCACCCAAAAGAGCAAAGCCAAAGCUGGCGGCCUGUGCUGGGCGCUGAGACGUUCUCAGCCCUCAGUAGUCCUGGCUGGUGCAGCCAAAGGACUAAACGCUGCAAGCCUGUUUUCAUAAAACAUCGUGCUGAAGACCAAGAUCUAUUCAGCACUCGUCUUUGGGGCCUGUAUGAAAGCACAGGAACGAAUCUGGGAUGCAGAAAGUCAGGGGGUGCCCCGGCCACCCCCGAGAUCUACGCCCCCUGCCUACACGACGCUCUGCCGAUCCCUCCGCUCGCCCAGCCUGUGUGUGCAGAGAGGGUCCUGCCAGUGGCCCUGCCACAGCCUGGUUUUGAGACCUUCGCCUCUGUCAGGCCCAGCCAGGCUCUGAGUCUGUCCUCCGGGCCCCUGGUUCACCAGAUCAGGCCCAGUCCCGACCCCCAGCCCAUGCCAGGCCGCUUCUCUCUUCACCGGCUCCCUGGCUUGGGGGCCAUCACUGUGCAAAGGCCUGGUGGAUGCAAAGGGGGCCCUCAACCUCAGUAAUAAACACGCUCGCGCGGUCCUGCACACUCAUUAUACUCACAACCACACAGGCACACUUUCGCCCUCCUGGGCUCACUCAUGUGCGUGCACACAAAUCACUUUGGAAUGCACACACGUGCACACACACACUCCCUGAGACCCGCACGUACUCCCUGCGGCGUCCGGCACACUCCUCCGCCCGUCGUCCCCACUCGGGAAGUGGGUAGCGGGGAGCCAUGCCCGCGUCCCCGCACGCACUCACCCCAACAACGCCACCAGACGCUCCGGGGUGCACACGCACACCCGCCGGGGACGCGCACACCCCGGGACACGCGGACACGCCGCCACCCCCGCCCGCCCUGCCGCCGACACGCUUAGCCCCGCGCGGCCACACGCGCGCCCGCCUCCCGCUCUCCCCCGCGGAGCCCCGGGCGCGCGCCCGCCCUCGGCCCGGCUGGGGGUGACGGCCCAGGCGCCCGGCCCCCGCCCCUCCCCGGCCCGCGGGGCCCCAUCGGCCCGACCCCAGCCCCAGGCUACUCACCGGCGCGCGGGCGGGCUCGGCUGCCGCGGGGGGACCGGUGCGCGGGCCCGCGGGCGGCU
RNAcentral lists this long non-coding RNA (1140 nucleotides) under Piliocolobus tephrosceles (Ugandan red Colobus). RNAcentral's name for it is "lncRNA (ENSPTEG00000016166.1)". The record is from RNAcentral. Lineage: Eukaryota; Metazoa; Chordata; Mammalia; Primates; Cercopithecidae.